Molecule: ribosomal RNA, 207 nt
Filed under: uncultured bacterium
Lineage: Bacteria
Description: partial 16S ribosomal RNA
Rfam family: Bacterial small subunit ribosomal RNA
Source: RNAcentral
CGUGUAGGCGGUUUGGUAAGUCAGAUGUAAAAGGCUCCGGCUUAACCGGAGAUGGUCAUUUGAAACUACCAGGCUUGAGUUCGAGAGAGGGUAGCGGAAUUCCCAGUGUAGCGGUGAAAUGCGUAGAUAUUGGGAAGAACACCAGUAGCGAAGGCGGCUACCUGGCUCGCAACUGAUGCUAAGGCGCGAAAGCGUGGGGAGCAAACA